GAUGAACGCUGGCGGCGUGCCUAAUACAUGCAAGUCGAGCGAACAGAUGAGGAGCUUGCUCCUCUGACGUUAGCGGCGGACGGGUGAGUAACACGUGGAUAACCUACCUAUAAGACUGGGAUAACUUCGGGAAACCGGAGCUAAUACCGGAUAAUAUAUUGAACCGCAUGGUUCAAUAGUUAAAGACGGUUUUGCUGUCACUUAUAGAUGGAUCCGCGCCGCAUUAGCUAGUUGGUAAGGUAACGGCUUACCAAGGCAACGAUGCGUAGCCGACCUGAGAGGGUGAUCGGCCACACUGGAACUGAGACACGGUCCAGACUCCUACGGGAGGCAGCAGUAGGGAAUCUUCCGCAAUGGGCGAAAGCCUGACGGAGCAACGCCGCGUGAGUGAUGAAGGUCUUCGGAUCGUAAAACUCUGUUAUUAGGGAAGAACAACUGUGUAAGUAACUAUGCACGUCUUGACGGUACCUAAUCAGAAAGCCACGGCUAACUACGUG
Molecule: ribosomal RNA, 497 nt
Filed under: uncultured bacterium
Lineage: Bacteria
Description: partial 16S ribosomal RNA
Rfam family: Bacterial small subunit ribosomal RNA
Source: RNAcentral